RNAcentral lists this ribosomal RNA (301 nucleotides) under uncultured bacterium. RNAcentral describes it as "partial 16S ribosomal RNA". It matches the Rfam family "Bacterial small subunit ribosomal RNA", at positions 509 to 809 of the family's 1533-position model. The record is from RNAcentral.
CAGUAGCCACGGUAAUACGUAGGUGGCGAGCGUUGUCCGGAAUUAUUGGGCGUAAAGGGAGCGCAGGCGGACAUAUAAGUCCAUCUUAAAAGUGCGGGGCUCAACCCCGUGAGGGGAUGGAAACUGUAUGCCUUGAGUGUAGGAGAGGAAAGCGGAAUUCCCAGUGUAGCGGUGAAAUGCGUAGAUAUUGGGAGGAACACCAGUGGCGAAGGCGGCUUUCUGGACUGCAACUGACGCUGAGGCUCGAAAGCCAGGGGAGCGGACGGGAUUAGAUACCCGAGUAGUCCCUGUCUCUUAUACA